RNAcentral lists this ribosomal RNA (253 nucleotides) under uncultured bacterium. Its description in RNAcentral is "partial 16S ribosomal RNA". It matches the Rfam family "Bacterial small subunit ribosomal RNA", at positions 524 to 776 of the family's 1533-position model. The record is from RNAcentral.
AACGUAGGAGACAAACGUUAUCCGGAGUUACUGGGCGUAAAGGGCGUGUAGGUGGUAUCGUAAGUCUGGCGUGAAAUUUCUCGGCUUAACCGAGGAAGGUCGUCGGAUACUGCGAGGCUAGAGGACGGUAGAGGCGUGUGGAAUUCCGGGUGUAGUGGUGAAAUGCGUAGAGAUCCGGAGGAACACCAGUGGCGAAGGCGACACGCUGGGCCGUACCUGACACUGAUGCGCGACAGCAUGGGGAGCAAACAGG